This 27-nucleotide non-coding RNA is filed under the name Homo sapiens (human). The record is from RNAcentral. Lineage: Eukaryota; Metazoa; Chordata; Mammalia; Primates; Hominidae.
UAAAACGUUUCUGCCAUGGAGUCAUGC